CUGAGGCCUCAUCAUGUCUUUGGAAAUAACAGACCACUCUUCAGCAAUGUCCUGUGCCAAGGGCUGGACGUCAGGAAUCUUGGACCCGUUCUUGGAGCAGAGAUUCGAGUAACUUUCUCAAGUGCAUGUUGACACUCCGUAUGUUUCUGUUAGUAUCACCAAGGUUAAGUAUGUCUCAUGAAUGUCCUUCGAGCCUGGUAUUCUCUAGAGCUGUCUCCAUGCCGGUAUUCUCCAUUGUAGCAGAACAACUCUCAUCAAUGUGUUCGCACCUCUCCUCAAUCCGUGCGGCCAGCUUUUCUGCCAGCUUCUCUUCGUGUAUCCCAUAAAGUCGAAGUCAAAAAGACUGGGAUUUCUGAGGCCUCAUCAUGUCUUUGGAAAUAACAGACCACUCUUCAGCAAUGUCCUGUGCCAAGGGCUGGACGUCAGGAAUCUUGGACCCGUUCUUGGAGCAGAGAUUCGAGUAACUUUCUCAAGUGCACGUUGACACUCCGUAUGUUUAUGACAGUUUCACCAAGGUUCAGUAUGUCUCAUGAAUGUCUUUCAAGCCUGGUAUUCCCUAGAGUUGUCUCCAUGCCGGUAUUCUCCAUUGUAGCAGAACAACUC
Molecule: long non-coding RNA, 603 nt
Organism: Camelus dromedarius (Arabian camel)
Lineage: Eukaryota; Metazoa; Chordata; Mammalia; Artiodactyla; Camelidae
Exons: 4
Source: RefSeq, a predicted model, not a curated record